Molecule: long non-coding RNA, 248 nt
Filed under: Solanum tuberosum (potato)
Lineage: Eukaryota; Viridiplantae; Streptophyta; Magnoliopsida; Solanales; Solanaceae
Description: long non-coding RNA (STUB_LNC008632)
Source: RNAcentral
CAGGCCAGUGCACAGCCAUUUCUUAUACUUGGUCUUUUGGUUACUGCUUUAGCAACUAGCCAUUAAUAUUCAAGUGGAGAUGCCUUUUCCUCCAUGGAGAUGCCAAGCUGCUUAGAGCAAACAAAGCUCUUUCUAUUUAAUGACUUGUGUUUUACUUUUCCUUAAAUGUAGAAUGCUAGAUUAGGAUGUAAAAUUUAAUUUAAUUUAUGCAGAUUUUGGAUGAUUUUUAUUAUUUAUUUUAACAAAUU